Long non-coding RNA from Lagenorhynchus albirostris (white-beaked dolphin), 501 nucleotides. RefSeq lists it as uncharacterized. Lineage: Eukaryota; Metazoa; Chordata; Mammalia; Artiodactyla; Delphinidae. The record is from RefSeq and is a predicted model, not a curated record. The transcript is spliced from 3 exons.
CCGGAGCCGGCGCAGCGCAGCGCAGCGCAGCCGCACCUUCCCGGGCCGACGUGCGAGGGCGGCCCGCGCCGGGAGCCGCCUCUACCCGGGUGGAGACGGAUGUUAGCAGUUGGUGGGUGAAGACACUGGAAAGGCUUCAACCAUAAAACUGGCUGUUGUCAGGUGUGAGAGUUUUUCUAUGCAUCGGGAAAGGCUCCCUGUGCCCACGUGCGUACUGCUGUGUCCUGGUGCUUCUGCAAGGACUGAACGUGCACCUCACUGCUAUCUGUACCUGCCAAGAAAGGACGUAAAGCAUUGGCUGCCCUUCCUGUAACUUUUCUGAGAACAAAAUAAAAAAGUAUCACGGGAGCAUUAAACACCAGGACACCUUCUAGACAAAGUGCAAAAUGAUUGGUUCUUUACGGCUCCCUCAACUAUUUUUCAACUCCCAGUAGUCGAGUUCCAAAGAAGAAAUUAUGGUUUUCUCUGAGAGCCAGAAGUUCCCUUUAUACAUUUCUGGGU